CGGACGUCGGCCAGUGCGGGUCGCGGCCAUACGUGAAGAGCGUGCCGAGCGACGACAGCAUGGCCCGGCGUUCGGUCCGCCGACGGCCGG
Molecule: transfer RNA, 90 nt
Filed under: Streptomyces sp. AVP053U2
Lineage: Bacteria; Bacillati; Actinomycetota; Actinomycetes; Kitasatosporales; Streptomycetaceae
Description: tRNA-Phe
Source: RNAcentral